UUCAACUUUCGAUAAGCUUGCAAAACGUUUCAAUUAUUGAUCCAUUAAACCGUUUCAAAAGGCAAUGGUACAAUCUAUCAUUGAGCAGAACAAUGACACUUUUGUGAGUGCAAAGACAUGAUCGGGAAAGUCUCUGUGUUUUCAAGGGUUUAGUGAACUUGGUGAUUGUUUUGGUAUUUUGCUGAUGGAGAAACAAGUUUGGGAAUUAGACAGAUUUCUUCCACUUACAUAGAUCAGCAAAAAUGGGGAUAUUCGUAGAGGAAAAUAUCUGUAUUCUGUUCGACGAAGUACACACUGUCAUGGGUAUAUGACAAGAAAAAGAAAGAUGUGUUUCAUCCAGUGUUCACAGGGGUUGAAGAGCUUUGCUAGCACUUACAGCAAGAGCUAGUCCAACAGAUUGUGCCAAAUACUGUAAACAUUGUGUACUAAGUACAUGUAUAAAAUAACCAUUAGAAAUAGUACAGUUGAACUCCAAGGCAUAAAACAUAGAAGAAAUCAGUGAUCAAAGUAUCUGUGGAUCUGAAAGCCUCUUGUAAGUGGGAAGUAAAUGUUAUGAACAAAGACUUAUAAUGUGAUUUACAUGCAUUUACAGAAGAUAAAAUAAGGAUUUUUGACCUUGUUUAUUUAUUUUAAAAUAAAAUUUGGGAUGGAGAAUUAUGUGACAUAUUACUACAGCAAAGAUCAAAUCAAAUCAUCAAUCAGAGCCAAAUAGCAGUCUUAAAGUCUUCACCACUGCAAAAAUGUUGAAAUAUGGUUAGACUUCAAUACUUGUACAGUAUGGACCAUCAUCAGUAUAUGAUCAGAUACCUGCAUUCAACAUAGAGAUUAAGUUUAAGUUGUGUUGGAACACUUUCUCAUGGAAUGCUUUAAUUACUUUAUAGUAUGUGUAAUUUCAGGUCAAGGUUUUGCCCAGGUUUUGCCCAAAAUGUUAAGUUUUGUGAAAGGCGACAGCCUUAUGGUGACAAAUUCAUGAAAACUACAUAUGUAUUGGUGCUGCAAGUUGUGACCUUUAUCAAAAAGAUGUAAUGAUGGAAAUUUUACUGGUCAUAUGAAAUACAUGUGCAUGUGCAAUUUAAAUUAUAUAUUAAAUCAGAAUCUUUAGUUUCCUAUCAACACUCACAUCAAAUGGCUGUACUUAGGUUUAAAAUUCUGGCAUCAUUUUCCAUGAAAUUUAGAUCUUUUCUUUUACAAUUUUGUAAUUUUUGAUAAAUUUUAAAAUUAGCUGUUUCUGAAACAUGAAAAUUUACUGUGUGAGAUAUUGUGUAAUGCAUUAAGGAUGUAACAAGUUGAAUUUUGUUGACUUUAUUUUCUGCCCACAUCAGGCACCAGUAUUUUGUGAAUGAUAUCCCCUUUAUAAAUUUGAAUAUUUGGGGUAUUUACAGCAUCUAUGUUAUUACUGUUGCUUACCCUAAAUGAGAUAGCACCUUUAAUUAAUUAACAAUGAGUUAUGUCUAAUUUUUUCACAGUCUUGAAUAAAUGUAGAUCUGCAGGAAAUGUUAUAAUUACAUUGUAAAUGAUUGCAUUUGAACUGGGGGCAUUUGUUUCACAUUAAGCAUCAUAUCAUAUAGAACAAGCUGCAUAAAUCCUGCAUAAUUAUUUUUGUUUAGGAAUAUGGUUCCUGAUCCUAAGUUAGAUUUUUUAAUUCAACUUGUAAUGUCUGAACUAACAGUUUUGCUUUAACAUGAAAUUAUUUAUGGGAUAUUUGUCAUUCAUGACAACAUAAUAAGACUUGCAGCCUUUCUUUAAAUGCUUUUAGAUGUUACCUAUUUGUUUUUGAAUUUUGCAAAAUGAAAGCAUUGAUGCAAAAUUAUAUCAACCCUUAGCCUGUAGAGUUUCUUAAUGGACAUGUCUGGCUUUCAUAUUUUAAAGUGUUUAUUAUCAUUUUGGGUACAUUAUACAUCAGGAUGAAAAGUUAAAGUUAGUGAGACAACAGUGUGGAGCCUGUUCAGUCUCAAUAGCCUGGCUGUAUACUGCUGGCAAAGGCUAAUCACUUGGUUUCAGCAGUGUAAGCGUAAAAUUGGCAUUUAUUUUCCUUAUUUGUAUAUGGUAGAAACUUUAAAAAUCUUCUAUUAAAAAACCCAAAUAGCUAGAGCUUAGAUAUGGGUGUCUACAAAAUUUGUUCAAAUAAAAGCCCUUGGUUCAAAAUUGGCCCCGCCCUAGGGUAUAUGUGUAAAGUAAAAACUUAAAAAUCUUCUUUUAGCUAGAGUUUAGAUACUAAGCAUGAAAUAUCUUCUAGUGAGUGUUAACCAAAUAAAUUUUGUUCAAAUAAAAGCUCGGGGACAAAAUUGGCCCUGCCCAGAAGGGGGUCAUUGUUUUUCCCUUAAUGUGUAUAGUAAAAACUUAAAAAAAAUUAAGAGCUCGAGCUUAGAUAUUUAUCUUGAAACAUCUUCAAAUGGGUGUCUACCAAGUUUGAUCAAAUAAAAGCCCCUGGGUUAAAAUUGGCCUCACCCCGGGGGCCUAUAUACAGGUGAGCGUCUUCAGGGCCAUUAUGGCCCUCUUGUUUUUUUCUUGUGAAUGAUUUUCUAUGUCAUUAUUUGAGAAAUUAUUAAUUAGUUAGCUUACAUACUUGCUGAUAAAGCUUAGAAAUCCUAAAAUAGUUUACUUGGUACAAGUAGAUGAAAACUGAUCUACCUUUAGUGUCUACAUGUAAGUUAUUUCUGAUUAUAUUUGAAGUAAUGCUGGUCACAUGACUAUUGUGGUUAAAAUAAAAACAAAUUUGAAAGAAAUUUGUUAAAUUAUUACCAUUGAUUUACCAAAAAUAAGAUAAUAAUCUGUAGGCUCUUGCUUUGAUUUAAUGCAUAUUUAGUAAACACUGUACAAUGUAACAAUGUGAAUGGGUAUCAUGAUUUCACUGAACAUAGUAACAAUAUGACUGGGUAUCUGACUCAGAAAGUUAAGUAUUAAACCAGUGCUGAAGACACAAAUUGUACUUUAAAACCUGAAAUUAAAUAUGCAUUGCCUACUCAAUAACUAGCUUAUACCAACCUAUAUAUAUUUAGUGUUGGUCAAGUUUGAUCUUGCUGUUAUUCUAUUGUUACUAUUGACUUAGGAUGUUAACUUCAUAGGAAGAGAAAUAUUUGUCAAUUUAUCCCUGUGAUUCUGAGUGACCUUACAGCCAACUUAUGUACUCUUUUUUUUGUUAUGUUUAUGUGAUCAAACCUUGAUACAUUAUAUUUAGGACUGUGGUUAUACAUGUAUGUUAAAUCAAUAAAAUAUUGCAUUUGUAAUUUCAUAUUACACAUUGUUUUGAAAAUCAAGACUUAGAGGUAUGAAAUAAAUUCAUUGAUGAUCUA
Molecule: long non-coding RNA, 3293 nt
Organism: Ruditapes philippinarum (Manila clam)
Lineage: Eukaryota; Metazoa; Mollusca; Bivalvia; Venerida; Veneridae
Exons: 2
Source: RefSeq, a predicted model, not a curated record